UCCGUUGGUGAACCAGCGGAGGGAUCAUUACCGAGUUUACAACUCCCAAACCCCUGUGAACAUACCUAUACGUUGCCUCGGCGGAUCAGCCCGCGCCCUGUAAAAAGGGACGGCCCGCCCGAGGACCCUAAACUCUGUUUUUAGUGGAACUUCUGAGUAAAACAAACAAAUAAAUCAAAACUUUCAACAACGGAUCUCUUGGUUCUGGCAUCGAUGAAGAACGCAGCAAAAUGCGAUAAGUAAUGUGAAUUGCAGAAUUCAGUGAAUCAUCGAAUCUUUGAACGCACAUUGCGCCCGCCAGUAUUCUGGCGGGCAUGCCUGUUCGAGCGUCAUUUCAACCCUCAAGCUCAGCUUGGUGUUGGGACUCGCGGUAACCCGCGUUCCCCAAAUCGAUUGGCGGUCACGUCGAGCUUCCAUAGCGUAGUAAUCAUACACCUCGUUACUGGUAAUCGUCGCGGCCACGCCGUAAAACCCCAACUUCUGAAUGUUGACCUCGGAUCAGGUAGGAAUACCCGCUGAACUUAAGCAUA
RNAcentral lists this ribosomal RNA (530 nucleotides) under uncultured fungus. RNAcentral describes it as "eukaryotic LSU rRNA". The stretch from base 179 to 332 matches the Rfam family "5.8S ribosomal RNA". Lineage: Eukaryota; Fungi. The record is from RNAcentral.